GAUUGAAUUGCGCACGGAUGGCCCAGAUUGAAUUGCAAUGAACAGUCCAGAUUCACUCUCUAUUUAAUCGCGAUCGGACAGUCCAGAUUAAAUGCGAUGGACGGCCCAGAUCAAAAGCGGAUGGGUAUAAAUAACCCCAUCAGCACCCAAACCCUAACCCUAGCCGCCAGAGCCCCUCACCGGAGAAGACAGCCCAGCUGCCGGGGAGC
This 209-nucleotide long non-coding RNA is filed under the name Carica papaya (papaya). Its description in RNAcentral is "long non-coding RNA (CPAP_LNC006871)". The record is from RNAcentral. Lineage: Eukaryota; Viridiplantae; Streptophyta; Magnoliopsida; Brassicales; Caricaceae.